RNAcentral lists this ribosomal RNA (300 nucleotides) under uncultured Acidilobus sp. RNAcentral describes it as "bacterial SSU rRNA". The stretch from base 52 to 300 matches the Rfam family "Bacterial small subunit ribosomal RNA", at positions 547 to 795 of the family's 1533-position model. The record is from RNAcentral. Lineage: Archaea; Thermoproteati; Thermoproteota; Thermoprotei; Acidilobales; Acidilobaceae.
GCUAAUGCUGUGCCAUGAGCCGGGGGAGUGGAUGGGGUGGAAAAUUGUGUCGGAAUUACUGGGCAUAAAGCGCACGGAGGUGGUGUGGUAAGUCUCGUGUGAAAUGUCCCGGCUCAAGCGGGGAAUUGGGCGUGAUACUGGCAGGUUAGAGGUCGGGAGGGGUGAGCGGAACUCCUGGUGGAGCGGUGAAAUGCGUAGAUAUCAGGAGGAACACCGGUGGCGAAAGCGGCUCACUGGCCCGAAUCUGACACUGAGGUGCGAAAGCUAGGGUAGCAAACGGGAUUAGAUACCCGGGUAGUC